UGAGCAGCUGCUCUAAAUCAUUUGCARGUUCGCCAUGAGUGGUUCAGCAUUAACCUGCUAAGACUUUAUGGAGAAAAGGCUGGGUCCAGGUGUCAGAACGGUUUCUGUACAGACUUGCCUGUGUAGUGCCAAAGAGUCUCACCUUCCCUUUUGCAAACACUGAAUAUCACGCAGGAGGAGGUUUUUAAAAAUUCCCCUUUUAUUUGUUAGGCUUUCUAAAGAAAAAAGAAAAAGGAAAUUUCCUCUCUUCUCUAUCCAUUUUUAAAUGUAAGCAGUUAAACAGAGGAUUCCUGGGAUGGAGUUAUCAGUGUGAACAGGACGGGGUCGGACCCAUGUUUGGGAGCUGUCGGACACAUCAGAGGGACUGGGCUCAGUGGGCCACGGUGCUCCCAGAUUGGCUUCGUUUGGAGAACAUUAGUUUGGGCUCAGCUGAUGGGAUGUUUCGUUGCUCUUCGCCGACCUGUCGUACAGCUGAGGCCGCAGGAGCUCUAGGCAGGCAAGUUUUCUUCUCUCCUGUCUCAGGCAAAGGCAAAGCAUUGCCAAGGUGAUCGUUGCUUCACUUUGCUUGGGUUCCCUGUCCCCUACUACAAUUAAAAAAAAAAAAAGGAUGGUGUAUCAUCAUCCUUUGGCGGUGAUGAUGGUUGGAAAUAUCAUUUUCCGACACCCCCAGCUUUGGUCUUCGAUCAGAACUGAAGGAAGAAGCUGUAGGAGGUCAUCUGUGUGCCACUGUGUUUAACGUGACCCCAGCCAUGCUCCCCGGGUGGGAGGCCGGUCGGCGAAUAACUGCAUGAAGACGAAGGGAGGGCUGUGCAGUCCAGUGGUGAGGGCCCCCUCCCAGGAUCCCCGUCUCUCUGCCAUAGGUCUGUGCCUCUGGYGCAACGGUUGGCCCCUUGGCCCUGUCGUUCGGUAUUUGGGGAAUUCGUGACGGACGUAGAUUCGGACCUGCCGCAGCAGAGGAACAGGUUUCCCGCAUCCCCAGCGAAGGGCCGAACCACCGAACAAAAUUAAACUCUAAU
Molecule: long non-coding RNA, 1016 nt
Filed under: Apteryx owenii (little spotted kiwi)
Lineage: Eukaryota; Metazoa; Chordata; Aves; Apterygiformes; Apterygidae
Description: lncRNA (ENSAOWG00000007406.1)
Source: RNAcentral